GUCUGAUUGGCUCUGUUGGUAGAGUAUGUGACUCUUGAUCUCAGGGUUGUGAGUUCAAGCCCCAUGUUAGAUG
RNAcentral lists this transfer RNA (73 nucleotides) under Felis catus (domestic cat). It matches the Rfam family "tRNA". From Rfam's summary of the family: Transfer RNA (tRNA) molecules are approximately 80 nucleotides in length. Their secondary structure includes four short double-helical elements and three loops (D, anti-codon, and T loops). Further hydrogen bonds mediate the characteristic L-shaped molecular structure. tRNAs have two regions of fundamental functional importance: the anti-codon, which is responsible for specific mRNA codon recognition, and the 3' end, to which the tRNAs corresponding amino acid is attached (by aminoacyl-tRNA synthetases). tRNAs cope with the degeneracy of the genetic code in two manners: having more than one tRNA (with a specific anti-codon) for a particular amino acid; and 'wobble' base-pairing, i.e. permitting non-standard base-pairing at the 3rd anti-codon position. Lineage: Eukaryota; Metazoa; Chordata; Mammalia; Carnivora; Felidae. The record is from Rfam by way of RNAcentral. RNAcentral also lists the same sequence under 4 other names.